CAGCACCUCAAGUGGUCAGGAUGAUUAUUGGGCCUAAAGCAUCCGUAGCCGGCGCUGUAAGUUUUCGGUUAAAUCUGUACGCUCAACGUACAGGCUGCCGGGAAUACUGCAGCGCUAGGGAGUGGGAGAGGUAGACGGUACUCGGUAGGAAGGGGUAAAAUCCUUUGAUCUAUUGAUGACCACCUGUGGCGAAGGCGGUCUACCAGAACACGCCCGACGGUGAGGGAUGAAAGCUGGGGGAGCAAACCGGAUUAGAGACCCGAGUAGUCC
This 270-nucleotide ribosomal RNA is filed under the name uncultured archaeon. Its description in RNAcentral is "partial 16S ribosomal RNA". It matches the Rfam family "Archaeal small subunit ribosomal RNA", at positions 477 to 747 of the family's 1478-position model. The record is from RNAcentral.